This 892-nucleotide small RNA is filed under the name Pongo abelii (Sumatran orangutan). RNAcentral's name for it is "retained intron". The record is from RNAcentral. Lineage: Eukaryota; Metazoa; Chordata; Mammalia; Primates; Hominidae.
CACAGAGCUUGGUGCGUGACAUGUAGCAGGAUCCAGCGGUUGAAUGGAUGGUGGUGUGUGACUCUGGGGAAAGAGAUCCGCCCAUACGCAUUCAGCCUUUCCCUCCCCAGCUUCAGCACCUGCACCCUGGAUCCCCUGGAGGGGACGGUGUGCUCGUGGAUCGUGGUUGCCUGACGCUGCCUCUUUUUCAGAUUCUCAUUCAGAUUGUGGAUGCCUCGUCAGUCAUCACUUGGGAUUUUGACGUGUGCAAAGGGGACAUUGUGUUUAACAUCUAUCACUCCAAGAGGUCGCCACAGCCACCCAAAAAGGACUCCCUGGGAGCCCACAGCAUCACCUCUCCGGGUGGGAACAACGUGCAGCUCAUAGACAAAGUCUGGCAGCUGGGCCGCGAUUACAGCAUGGUGGAGUCACCUCUGAUCUGCAAAGAAGGAGAAAGCGUGCAGGGUUCCCAUGUGACCAGGUGGCCGGGCUUCUACAUCCUGCAGUGGAAAUUUCACAGCAUGCCCGCGUGCGCCGCCAGCAGCCUUCCCCGGGUGGACGACGUGCUCGCGUCCCUGCAGGUCUCUUCGCACAAGUGUAAAGUGAUGUACUACACCGAGGUGAUCGGCUCGGAGGAUUUCAGGUGCGGCCACCCUCGCCACAGCAGGUGCUGUGGACAGCUCGGCAUGGUUGGAGGGAGCCUGCAGUCCCGCGCCGUGUGCAGGAUCAGCAGUGGCGGCGGGUGUCAGGGAUGCCCGGGGGGCCAGGAGGGAGUGGCUUUGGGGUCGUUUGUUGGCAUGGUGACUCCCUGCCUGUCUGCAGAGGGAGAGUGUUGGAGACAGAGCCGACUGCCUUUGCUUUAGCUCACACUGCUGUCUGCGUGCAGGCUGUGGGAAGCCGGUCCCCCUGGUGG